Molecule: ribosomal RNA, 497 nt
Filed under: uncultured bacterium
Lineage: Bacteria
Description: partial 16S ribosomal RNA
Rfam family: Bacterial small subunit ribosomal RNA
Source: RNAcentral
GAUGAACGCUGGCGGCGUGCCUAAUACAUGCAAGUCGAGCGAACAGACGAGGAGCUUGCUCCACUGACGUUAGCGGCGGACGGGGGAGUAACACGUGGAUAACCUACCUAUAAGACUGGAAUAACUUCGGGAAACCGGAGCUAAUACCGGAUAAUAUAUUGAACCGCAUGGUUCAAUAGUGAAAGACGGUUUUGCUGUCACUUAUAGAUGGAUCCGCGCCGCAUUAGCUAGUUGGUAAGGUAACGGCUUACCAAGGCAACGAUGCGUAGCCGACCUGAGAGGGUGAUCGGCCACACUGGAACUGAGACACGGUCCAGACUCCUACGGGAGGCAGCAGUAGGGAGUCUUCCGCAAUGGGCGAAAGCCUGACGGAGCAACGCCGCGUGAGUGAUGAAGGUCUUCGGAUCGUAAAACUCUGUUAUUAGGGAAGAACAAAUGUGUAAGUAACUAUGCACGUCUUGACGGUACCUAAUCAGAAAGCCACGGCUAACUACGUG